GGUUAAGCGACUAAGCGUACACGGUGGAUGCCCUGGCAGUCAGAGGCGAUGAAGGACGUGCUAAUCUGCGAAAAGCGACGGCGAGGUGAUAUGAACCUUUGACCCGUCGAUGUCCGAAUGGGGAAACCCAGUGUGUUUCGACACACUAUCGUUAACUGAAUACAUAGGUUAACGAGGCGAACCGGGGGAACUGAAACAUCUAAGUACCCCGAGGAAAAGAAAUCAACCGAGAUUCCCCCAGUAGCGGCGAGCGAACGGGGAGCAGCCCGGAGUCUGAAUCAGCUUGUGUGUUAGUGGAAGCGUCUGGAAAGUCGCACGGUACAGGGUGACAGUCCCGUACACGAAAAUGCACAGGUUGUGAACUCGAAGAGUAGGGCGGGACACGUGGUAUCCUGUCUGAAUAUGGGGGGACCAUCCUCCAAGGCUAAAUACUCCUGACUGACCGAUAGUGAACCAGUACCGUGAGGGAAAGGCGAAAAGAACCCCGGCGAGGGGAGUGAAAAAGAACCUGAAACCGUGUACGUACAAGCAGUGGGAGCACCUUCGUGGUGUGACUGCGUACCUUUUGUAUAAUGGGUCAGCGACUUAUAUUCUGUAGCAAGGUUAACCGUAUAGGGGAGCCGCAGGGAAACCGAGUCUUAACUGGGCGUUAAGUUGCAGGGUAUAGACCCGAAACCCGGUGAUCUAGCCAUGGGCAGGUUGAAGGUUGGGUAACACUAACUGGAGGACCGAACCGACUAAUGUUGAAAAAUUAGCGGAUGACCUGUGGCUGGGGGUGAAAGGCCAAUCAAACCGGGAGAUAGCUGGUUCUCCCCGAAAGCUAUUUAGGUAGCGCCUCGUGAACUCAUCUUCGGGGGUAGAGCACUGUUUCGGCUAGGGGGCCAUCCCGGCUUACCAACCCGAUGCAAACUACGAAUACCGAAGAAUGUUAUCACGGGAGACACACGGCGGGUGCUAACGUCCGUCGUGAAGAGGGAAACAACCCAGACCGCCAGCUAAGGUCCCAAAGUCAUGGUUAAGUGGGAAACGAUGUGGGAAGGCACAGACAGCCAGGAUGUUGGCUUAGAAGCAGCCAUCAUUUAAAGAAAGCGUAAUAGCUCACUGGUCGAGUCGGCCUGCGCGGAAGAUGUAACGGGGCUAAACCAUGCACCGAAGCUGCGGCAGCGACGCUUAUGCGUUGUUGGGUAGGGGAGCGUUCUGUAAGCCGUUGAAGGUGUGCUGUGAGGCAUGCUGGAGGUAUCAGAAGUGCGAAUGCUGACAUAAGUAACGAUAAAGCGGGUGAAAAGCCCGCUCGCCGGAAGACCAAGGGUUCCUGUCCAACGUUAAUCGGGGCAGGGUGAGUCGACCCCUAAGGCGAGGCCGAAAGGCGUAGUCGAUGGGAAACAGGUUAAUAUUCCUGUACUUGGUGUUACUGCGAAGGGGGGACGGAGAAGGCUAUGUCAGCCGGGCGACGGUUGUCCCGGUUUAAGCGUGUAGGUGUGUGUUCCAGGCAAAUCCGGUUCACUUUAACACUGAGGCGUGAUGACGAGGCACUACGGUGCUGAAGUGAUAAAUGCCCUGCUUCCAGGAAAAGCCUCUAAGCAUCAGGUAACACGAAAUCGUACCCCAAACCGACACAGGUGGUCAGGUAGAGAAUACCAAGGCGCUUGAGAGAACUCGGGUGAAGGAACUAGGCAAAAUGGUGCCGUAACUUCGGGAGAAGGCACGCUGAUAUGUAGGUGAAGUCCCUGCGGACGGAGCUGAAAUCAGUCGAAGAUACCAGCUGGCUGCAACUGUUUAUUAAAAACACAGCACUGUGCAAACACGAAAGUGGACGUAUACGGUGUGACGCCUGCCCGGUGCCGGAAGGUUAAUUGAUGGGGUUAGCGGCAACGCGAAGCUCUUGAUCGAAGCCCCGGUAAACGGCGGCCGUAACUAUAACGGUCCUAAGGUAGCGAAAUUCCUUGUCGGGUAAGUUCCGACCUGCACGAAUGGCGUAAUGAUGGCCAGGCUGUCUCCACCCGAGACUCAGUGAAAUUGAACUCGCUGUGAAGAUGCAGUGUACCCGCGGCAAGACGGAAAGACCCCGUGAACCUUUACUAUAGCUUGACACUGAACACUGGUCCUUGAUGUGUAGGAUAGGUGGGAGGCUUUGAAGCGUGGACGCCAGUCUGCGUGGAGCCGUCCUUGAAAUACCACCCUUUAAUGGCUGGUGUUCUAACGUGGACCCGUGAUCCGGGUUGCGGACAGUGUCUGGUGGGUAGUUUGACUGGGGCGGUCUCCUCCCAAAGAGUAACGGAGGAGCACGAAGGUUAGCUAAUCCUGGUCGGACAUCAGGAGGUUAGUGCAAUGGCAUAAGCUAGCUUGACUGCGAGAGUGACGGCUCGAGCAGGUGCGAAAGCAGGUCAUAGUGAUCCGGUGGUUCUGAAUGGAAGGGCCAUCGCUCAACGGAUAAAAGGUACUCCGGGGAUAACAGGCUGAUACCGCCCAAGAGUUCAUAUCGACGGCGGUGUUUGGCACCUCGAUGUCGGCUCAUCACAUCCUGGGGCUGAAGUAGGUCCCAAGGGUAUGGCUGUUCGCCAUUUAAAGUGGUACGCGAGCUGGGUUUAGAACGUCGUGAGACAGUUCGGUCCCUAUCUGCCGUGGGCGCUGGAGAAUUGAGGGGGGCUGCUCCUAGUACGAGAGGACCGGAGUGGACGCAUCACUGGUGUUCGGGUUGUCAUGCCAAUGGCACUGCCCGGUAGCUAAAUGCGGAAGAGAUAAGUGCUGAAAGCAUCUAAGCACGAAACUUGCCCCGAGAUGAGUUCUCCCUGAGACUUUAAGUCUCCUGAAGGAACGUUGAAGACGACGACGUUGAUAGGCCGGGUGUGUAAGCGCAGCGAUGCGUUGAGCUAACCGGUACUAAUGAACCGUGAGGCUUAACCUU
Molecule: ribosomal RNA, 2905 nt
Filed under: Enterobacter bugandensis
Lineage: Bacteria; Pseudomonadati; Pseudomonadota; Gammaproteobacteria; Enterobacterales; Enterobacteriaceae
Description: 23S ribosomal RNA
Rfam family: Bacterial large subunit ribosomal RNA
Source: RNAcentral